GUCGAACGGCAGCACGGGGGCAACCCUGGUGGCGAGUGGCGAACGGGUGAGUAAUACAUCGGAACGUGUCCUGUAGUGGGGGAUAGCCCGGCGAAAGCCGGAUUAAUACCGCAUACGACCUAAGGGAGAAAGCGGGGGAUCUUCGGACCUCGCGCUAUAGGGGCGGCCGAUGGCAGAUUAGCUAGUUGGUGGGGUAAAGGCCUACCAAGGCGACGAUCUGUAGCUGGUCUGAGAGGACGACCAGCCACACUGGGACUGAGACACGGCCCAGACUCCUACGGGAGGCAGCAGUGGGGAAUUUUGGACAAUGGGGGAAACCCUGAUCCAGCAAUGCCGCGUGUGUGAAGAAGGCCUUCGGGUUGUAAAGCACUUUUGUCCGGAAAGAAAACCUCUUGGAUAAUACCUGAGGGGGAUGACGGUACCGGAAGAAUAAGCACCGGCUAACUACGUGCCAGCAGCCGCGGUAAUACGUAGGUGCGAGCGUUAAUCGGAAUUACUGGG
Molecule: ribosomal RNA, 501 nt
Filed under: uncultured Burkholderia sp.
Lineage: Bacteria; Pseudomonadati; Pseudomonadota; Betaproteobacteria; Burkholderiales; Burkholderiaceae
Description: bacterial SSU rRNA
Rfam family: Bacterial small subunit ribosomal RNA
Source: RNAcentral